This 77-nucleotide transfer RNA is filed under the name Mollicutes bacterium. RNAcentral's name for it is "tRNA-Glu". It matches the Rfam family "tRNA". Rfam says of the family: Transfer RNA (tRNA) molecules are approximately 80 nucleotides in length. The record is from RNAcentral. Lineage: Bacteria; Bacillati; Mycoplasmatota; Mollicutes.
GGCCCGUUGGUGAAGCGGCUUAACACACUGCCCUUUCACGGCAGCACACAUGGGUUCGAAUCCCGUACGGGUCACCA